Molecule: unclassified non-coding RNA, 240 nt
Filed under: soil metagenome
Description: partial contains 5.8S ribosomal RNA, internal transcribed spacer 2, and large subunit ribosomal RNA
Source: RNAcentral
AAGACUAUAGACCUGCGGAGUACCUGCGGAGGGAUCAUUAUUGAAUAUUCUUGACGGGUUGUAGCUGGCCCUUUGGGGCAUGUGCACGCCUGUCUUGUUAUUCAUCCACCUGUGCACCUUUUGUAGUCUUGUGGGUUGAGAGCAGUCAACUAUCGGUCAAUGUCCGGAUGUGAGGAAUGCUGAGCGCGAAAGCAUACAGCUCUUCUCAAAUGACUUGCAAUACCUCUCCUUCAAGUGCUA